UCUGUCUUUGGAUGCAUGCCAUCACUGUAGUCUGCGUAACUUUUGUUACAGUAGAUUUCCAAACUCCCACAAGCCUUCGCCUUAGAAAGGUAAGUUGGUGCCCAUCACCAAUGCCAUCUCACCUUGAGCAUCCGUAGCUCUGACCUUUAAGCAAUGGGCAGGCAUAGGUUUAAACUGGCAAAAUACUAAAACUCCCAAGACUGGCAUUCA
Molecule: non-coding RNA, 210 nt
Organism: Pelobates cultripes (western spadefoot toad)
Lineage: Eukaryota; Metazoa; Chordata; Amphibia; Anura; Pelobatidae
Source: the annotation of a GenBank genome assembly